AACUUCUGAAUGUGACCU
This 18-nucleotide ribosomal RNA is filed under the name Fusarium brachygibbosum. Its description in RNAcentral is "partial 28S ribosomal RNA". The record is from RNAcentral. Lineage: Eukaryota; Fungi; Ascomycota; Sordariomycetes; Hypocreales; Nectriaceae.